GGUUAAGCGACUAAGCGUACACGGUGGAUGCCCUGGCAGUCAGAGGCGAUGAAGGACGUGCUAAUCUGCGAAAAGCGUCGGUAAGGUGAUAUGAACCGUUAUAACCGGCGAUGUCCGAAUGGGGAAACCCAGUGCAAUUCGUUGCACUAUCGUUAACUGAAUACAUAGGUUAACGAGGCGAACCGGGGGAACUGAAACAUCUAAGUACCCCGAGGAAAAGAAAUCAACCGAGAUUCCCCCAGUAGCGGCGAGCGAACGGGGAGCAGCCCAGAGUCUGAAUCAGCUUGUGUGUUAGUGGAACGGUCUGGAAAGUCCGACGGUACAGGGUGAUAGUCCCGUACACCAAAAUGCACAGGCUGUGAACUCGAAGAGUAGGGCGGGACACGUGGUAUCCUGUCUGAAUAUGGGGGGACCAUCCUCCAAGGCUAAAUACUCCUGACUGACCGAUAGUGAACCAGUACCGUGAGGGAAAGGCGAAAAGAACCCCGGCGAGGGGAGUGAAAAAGAACCUGAAACCGUGUACGUACAAGCAGUGGGAGCACCUUCGGGUGUGACUGCGUACCUUUUGUAUAAUGGGUCAGCGACUUAUAUUCUGUAGCAAGGUUAACCGUAUAGGGGAGCCGCAGGGAAACCGAGUCUUAACUGGGCGUUAAGUUGCAGGGUAUAGACCCGAAACCCGGUGAUCUAGCCAUGGGCAGGUUGAAGGUUGGGUAACACUAACUGGAGGACCGAACCGACUAAUGUUGAAAAAUUAGCGGAUGACUUGUGGCUGGGGGUGAAAGGCCAAUCAAACCGGGAGAUAGCUGGUUCUCCCCGAAAGCUAUUUAGGUAGCGCCUCGUGAACUCAUCUUCGGGGGUAGAGCACUGUUUCGGCUAGGGGGUCAUCCCGACUUACCAACCCGAUGCAAACUACGAAUACCGAAGAAUGUUAUCACGGGAGACACACGGCGGGUGCUAACGUCCGUCGUGAAGAGGGAAACAACCCAGACCGCCAGCUAAGGUCCCAAAGUCAUGGUUAAGUGGGAAACGAUGUGGGAAGGCACAGACAGCCAGGAUGUUGGCUUAGAAGCAGCCAUCAUUUAAAGAAAGCGUAAUAGCUCACUGGUCGAGUCGGCCUGCGCGGAAGAUGUAACGGGGCUAAACCAUGCACCGAAGCUGCGGCAGCGACACUAUGUGUUGUUGGGUAGGGGAGCGUUCUGUAAGCCUGCGAAGGUGACCUGUGAGGGUUGCUGGAGGUAUCAGAAGUGCGAAUGCUGACAUAAGUAACGAUAAAGCGGGUGAAAAGCCCGCUCGCCGGAAGACCAAGGGUUCCUGUCCAACGUUAAUCGGGGCAGGGUGAGUCGACCCCUAAGGCGAGGCCGAAAGGCGUAGUCGAUGGGAAACAGGUUAAUAUUCCUGUACUUGGUGUUACUGCGAAGGGGGGACGGAGAAGGCUAUGUUAGCCGGGCGACGGUUGUCCCGGUUUAAGCAUGUAGGCUGAUUGUCCAGGCAAAUCCGGAUAAUCAAGGCUGAGGUGUGAUGACGAGGCACUACGGUGCUGAAGUAACAAAUGCCCUGCUUCCAGGAAAAGCCUCUAAGCAUCAGGUAACAUUAAAUCGUACCCCAAACCGACACAGGUGGUCAGGUAGAGAAUACCAAGGCGCUUGAGAGAACUCGGGUGAAGGAACUAGGCAAAAUGGUGCCGUAACUUCGGGAGAAGGCACGCUGGUGUGUAGGUGAAGUCCCUGCGGAUGGAGCUGAGACCAGUCGAAGAUACCAGCUGGCUGCAACUGUUUAUUAAAAACACAGCACUGUGCAAACACGAAAGUGGACGUAUACGGUGUGACGCCUGCCCGGUGCCGGAAGGUUAAUUGAUGGGGUUAUCCGUAAGGAGAAGCUCUUGAUCGAAGCCCCGGUAAACGGCGGCCGUAACUAUAACGGUCCUAAGGUAGCGAAAUUCCUUGUCGGGUAAGUUCCGACCUGCACGAAUGGCGUAAUGAUGGCCAGGCUGUCUCCACCCGAGACUCAGUGAAAUUGAACUCGCUGUGAAGAUGCAGUGUACCCGCGGCAAGACGGAAAGACCCCGUGAACCUUUACUAUAGCUUGACACUGAACAUUGAGCCUUGAUGUGUAGGAUAGGUGGGAGGCUUUGAAGCGUGGACGCCAGUCUGCGUGGAGCCAACCUUGAAAUACCACCCUUUAAUGUUUGAUGUUCUAACGUUGGCCCCUGACCGGGGUUGCGGACAGUGUCUGGUGGGUAGUUUGACUGGGGCGGUCUCCUCCCAAAGCGUAACGGAGGAGCACGAAGGUUAGCUAAUCCUGGUCGGACAUCAGGAGGUUAGUGCAAUGGCAUAAGCUAGCUUGACUGCGAGCGUGACGGCGCGAGCAGGUGCGAAAGCAGGUCAUAGUGAUCCGGUGGUUCUGAAUGGAAGGGCCAUCGCUCAACGGAUAAAAGGUACUCCGGGGAUAACAGGCUGAUACCGCCCAAGAGUUCAUAUCGACGGCGGUGUUUGGCACCUCGAUGUCGGCUCAUCACAUCCUGGGGCUGAAGUAGGUCCCAAGGGUAUGGCUGUUCGCCAUUUAAAGUGGUACGCGAGCUGGGUUUAGAACGUCGUGAGACAGUUCGGUCCCUAUCUGCCGUGGGCGCUGGAGAAUUGAGGGGGCUGCUCCUAGUACGAGAGGACCGGAGUGGACGCAUCACUGGUGUUCGGGUUGUCAUGCCAAUGGCACUGCCCGGUAGCUAAAUGCGGAAGAGAUAAGUGCUGAAAGCAUCUAAGCACGAAACUUGCCCCGAGAUGAGUUCUCCCUGAGACUUUAAGUCUCCUGAAGGAACGUUAAAGACGAUGACGUUGAUAGGCCGGGUGUGUAAGCGCAGCGAUGCGUUGAGCUAACCGGUACUAAUGAACCGUGAGGCUUAACCUU
RNAcentral lists this ribosomal RNA (2901 nucleotides) under Klebsiella pneumoniae. RNAcentral's name for it is "23S ribosomal RNA". It matches the Rfam family "Bacterial large subunit ribosomal RNA". Lineage: Bacteria; Pseudomonadati; Pseudomonadota; Gammaproteobacteria; Enterobacterales; Enterobacteriaceae. The record is from RNAcentral.